UUGUAGCCCAGUUGGAUAGAGCACAGGAUUCCUAAUCCUGGGGUCGUGGGUUCGACUCCCGCCA
RNAcentral lists this transfer RNA (64 nucleotides) under bovine gut metagenome. It matches the Rfam family "tRNA", at positions 6 to 65 of the family's 71-position model. From Rfam's summary of the family: Transfer RNA (tRNA) molecules are approximately 80 nucleotides in length. Their secondary structure includes four short double-helical elements and three loops (D, anti-codon, and T loops). Further hydrogen bonds mediate the characteristic L-shaped molecular structure. tRNAs have two regions of fundamental functional importance: the anti-codon, which is responsible for specific mRNA codon recognition, and the 3' end, to which the tRNAs corresponding amino acid is attached (by aminoacyl-tRNA synthetases). tRNAs cope with the degeneracy of the genetic code in two manners: having more than one tRNA (with a specific anti-codon) for a particular amino acid; and 'wobble' base-pairing, i.e. permitting non-standard base-pairing at the 3rd anti-codon position. The record is from RNAcentral.